Molecule: long non-coding RNA, 1057 nt
Organism: Numida meleagris (helmeted guineafowl)
Lineage: Eukaryota; Metazoa; Chordata; Aves; Galliformes; Numididae
Exons: 2
Source: RefSeq, a predicted model, not a curated record
UCUUGGGGAUGAGGAGGCUCUAGUGAGGUAGGAGGCUUGUGCUCUCUGAUGCAGUUCAACCUCCUCCAGUAUAGCCAUGAUCUUCCUCAUCCCCGUGGAAUCACAACACGUGUGGCCUGGAGAGCAGCAGCUCUCAGGGCUUCAUCUCCUCCCAGCUGUUAACCCUUUGGGAAUGCUACACACUCUGCUUGGAAUUGCUGUGCUGACCUUUCCUUCAGAGCACCCUCUGGACUUCAGCAGCUGCAGCUCAGUUAUCCUUCUGGCUGGUCACAACUGGGGCUGUUUAAAGAAAUAAAUACACAGUUCAACCAGCUGCAGAGCAAGAUUGCACGGCAAUCUUUCCUGACAAAGGAUAAGGUCAGAACCUCCUUUAACAGAAACACACCCUGGCACAAGGAUUAAAGCUUUCAUAUAUCUCUUUCGCCAUUAAAAUCCCACUUCUCAUGAGAAACCUCCCUCCUCCUUCCAUAAAGCAUCCAGCCCUCUGGAGCCACCCGGUUGUCAGUGGAUGAUGGAUUAAUGUAGCAAAUGCUGCUGAAGCUUUUAGCUCUCCUUCUCUGGGCAUCUACUUCAAACAGCGCCCUUGGCCUGGCACACUGAGAAAACUUCACUCCUAAUCCCGGAGGCUUGGCCAGGGGGAUGCCUGUGAGACCAGAUCACUGUUCUCUACAGAAAUUAGAGGGGUCAAAGAUGUAACCACACUCUAAUUUCUAACAGCUGAGAUCUUUGAUUCAGGGAGCAGAUACAAAAGCAGCACUGUCUAUAACUUACUCUUCCUUCACUAGAAGCUAUGUUACAGAAACUAUAAAAUGAAGGAAAACAGAGCCCUUGCUACUGUAUUCAGAGAUCUUCUACCUCUAGCUACCCUCUUGAAUCUCUCUUUGGACACGUCCCAGCAGUAAUGCAGUCUAGGAGAGGGGGAAAAAUACACUCUGGGCUCUAUUUUUAGUGGCUGCGUGAGCCUGAGUUGUGCUCCACCCCUGCCCCCCAUCCAUUCUCAGCCAAAAAAGGCCCUGGAAAAUCUCCUGAAGUUGUAGUGUAUAGCUUACGCUAUGCA